Molecule: ribosomal RNA, 380 nt
Filed under: uncultured eukaryote
Lineage: Eukaryota
Description: partial 18S ribosomal RNA
Rfam family: Eukaryotic small subunit ribosomal RNA
Source: RNAcentral
CAAUAGCGUAUAUUAAAGUUGUUGCGGUUAAAAAGUUCGUAGUUGGAUUUCUGCCAAGGACGACCGGUCCGCCCUCUGGGUGAGUAUCUGGCUUGGCCUCGGCAUCUUCUUGGAGAACGUUGCUGCACUUCACUGUGUGGCGCGGUAUCCAGGACCUUUACUUUGAGGAAAUUAGAGUGUUUCAAGCAGGCAUCUGCCUUGAAUACAUUAGCAUGGAAUAAUAAGAUAGGACCUCGGUUCUAUUUUGUUGGUUUCUAGAGCUGGGGUAAUGAUUAAUAGGGAUAGUUGGGGGCAUUCGUAUUUAACUGUCAGAGGUGAAACUCUUGGAUUUGUUAAAGACGGACUACUGCGAAAGCAUUUGCCAAGGAUGUUUUCAUUGA